RNAcentral lists this ribosomal RNA (62 nucleotides) under Hypoxylon griseobrunneum. RNAcentral describes it as "partial 28S ribosomal RNA". The record is from RNAcentral. Lineage: Eukaryota; Fungi; Ascomycota; Sordariomycetes; Xylariales; Hypoxylaceae.
GGUUGACCUCGGAUUAGGUAGGAAUACCCGCUGAACUUAAGCAUAUCAAAAGCCGGAGGAAA